GGUUCGAUCAUGGCUCAGAUUGAACGCUGGCGGAUGCUUACACACGUGUUUGAACGGCAGCACGGACUUCGGUCUGGUGGCGAGUGGCGAACGGGUGAGUGAAGGUAUCGGAAUGUACCAUGGGGAUAACUACGCGAAAGGUAGCCACUACCGUAUACGCCCUUCGGGGGAAAGCGGGGAUCUUCGGGCCUCGCACUAUUAGAGCGGCCGAUAUCGGAUUAGCUAGUUGGUGGCAACGGCUCACCAAGGCGACGAUCCGUAGCUGGUUUGAGAGGACGAUCAGCCAGCCACUGGGACCGAGACACGGCCCAGACUCCCAUGGAGGCAGCAGUGGGGAAUUCUGGACAAUGGGGGAAACCCCGAUCCAGCCAUCCCGCGUGUGCGAUGAAGGCCUUCGGGUUGUAAAGCACUUUUGCAGGAGAAACGGCACGGAUAAUACCCUGUGCAACUGACGGUACCUGCAGAAUAAGCACCGGCUAACCGAUGUGCCAGCAGCCGCGGUAAUACGUAGGGUGCAAGCGUUAAUCGGAAUUGAUGGCGUAAAGCGUGCAGGCGGUUCGGAAAGAAAGAUGUGAAAUCCCAGAGCUUAACUUGAACUGCAUUUUUAACUACCGAGCUAGAGGCCGGAGGGAGGUGGAAUUCCGCGUGUAGCAGUGAAAUGCGUAGAUAUGGAGGAACACCGAUGGCGAAGGCAGCCUCCCGGGAUAAUACUGACGCUCAUGCACGAAAGCAUGGGAGCAAACAGGAUUAGAUACUCCUGGUAGUCCACGCCCUAAACGAUGUCAACUAGCUGUUGGGGCCUUCUGGCCUGGUAGCGCAGCUAACGCGUGAAGUUGACCGCCUGGGGAGUACGGUCGCAAGAUUAAAACUCAGCGAAUGAUUGGGACUCGCACAAGCGGUGGAUGAUGUGGAUUAAUUCGAUGCAACGCGAAAACCUUACCUACCCUUGACAUGUCUGGAAUCCCGAAGAGAUUUGGGAGUGCUUUGCAAGAGAACCGGAACACAGGGUGUUGCAUGGCUGUCGUCAGCUCGUGUCGUGAGAUGUUGGGUUAAGUCCUGCAACGAGCGCAACCCUUGUCAUUAGUUACGAAAGGGCACUCUAAUGAGAUCGCCGGUGACAAACCGGAGGAAGGUGGGGAUGAUGUCAAGUCCCCAUAGCCUUGAAGGGUGGGCUUCACACGUCAUACAAUGGUCGGGACAGAGGGUCGCCAACCUGCGAGGGGAUUUUUAACCAGAAACCCGAUCGUAGUCCGACCGCAGUUCGCAACUCGACUGCGUGAAGUCGGAAUCGCUAGUAAUCGCGGAUCAGCAUGUCGCGGUGAAUACGUUCCCGGGUCUUGUACACACCGCCCGUCACACUGAGUGGCCGAAUGGUAAGUAGUUAGCCUAACCGUAAGGAGGGCGAUUACCACAUAGGAUUCAUGGCUGAAAGUAGUCGUAACAGCGUAG
Molecule: ribosomal RNA, 1449 nt
Filed under: uncultured Bordetella sp.
Lineage: Bacteria; Pseudomonadati; Pseudomonadota; Betaproteobacteria; Burkholderiales; Alcaligenaceae
Description: partial 16S-23S ribosomal RNA intergenic spacer
Rfam family: Bacterial small subunit ribosomal RNA
Source: RNAcentral